CAGUAGCCACGGUAAUACGUAGGGUGCGAGCGUUAAUCGGAAUUACUGGGCGUAAAGCGUGCGCAGGCGGUUCGUUAAGACAGAUGUGAAAUCCCCGGGCUUAACCUGGGAACUGCAUUUGUGACUGGCGAGCUAGAGUAUGGCAGAGGGGGGUAGAAUUCCACGUGUAGCAGUGAAAUGCGUAGAGAUGUGGAGGAAUACCGAUGGCGAAGGCAGCCCCCUGGGCCAAUACUGACGCUCAUGCACGAAAGCGUGGGGAGCAAACAGGAUUAGAUACCCGCGUAGUCCCUGUCUCUUAUAC
Molecule: ribosomal RNA, 301 nt
Filed under: uncultured bacterium
Lineage: Bacteria
Description: partial 16S ribosomal RNA
Rfam family: Bacterial small subunit ribosomal RNA
Source: RNAcentral